This 3072-nucleotide long non-coding RNA is filed under the name Homo sapiens (human). RNAcentral describes it as "HSALNT0341749". Lineage: Eukaryota; Metazoa; Chordata; Mammalia; Primates; Hominidae. The record is from RNAcentral.
CUAAGGAGGAAGUAGAGAAUAGCUUUAGAGUAGGAAAUUAUUACUGUCUAAAGAUUCAUUGGUCUCAGGAUGCUGUGUAAUCACAACCAGUAUUUCUAGGCAAUUUUCAGGAUAAAGUUGACUGUGGAUACCUAUUCAAUUUUGCUGUUUUGGAGGGUUUUCUUUUUUAUGGAUAGCCAUUGUAACAAACAUUUUUAUAUACUUUAUUCUUUGCAUCAUAUGAGUGAGAAGGAGGUCAUUCUAGGCCAUUAAUAACUUUUGUGUACUAGAAUAUUCUUUUUUACAUGCUUCAUUUAAAUGGUGGCUUUAGAGUCCAUGUUAUGACCAAUACUAAUCUCUUUUGGACGACACUUAAAUUCUAAGUUGCAGCACCUAUACCCAAAAUCUAAGAAUUUCUUAAUUAUCUCUAUCAGUUUCAAAUGACUUGUUUUUUUAAUGCCCACAUACUGAUAAUAGAACACUAAAUAUUUAAACUGAGGAACAUUCAUACAAGAAGCUGUUGUUUUUUGUACAGCUCUACUAGCCUUAACAUCUAAAAUUCAGUAUUUGAUAGAAGACUUUUAAGAUCUUAAAAUUGUUACCUCUUAAAUAUUUUACAUACUUAUAAAAAUAUUUAUUAAUUAUAUUCUAUAUUCCACCAAAAUGCAAAUCUUAGGUUCUCUACAUUUCUCAGAAUCAGUCUUUCAUAUUGAUAAUUAAGAUGGAGAGAUUUUUCAAUGACAGGUUAUUGAAAAGAGGAAGAAAAGGAGCAGGAAAAGAGAAGAGAAAGUGAAAAUAGGGUAUCUGUUCUAAUGUUCUUUCUAAGUGAUACUCAGAAGUGAACACAGUACAAUUUCCUGAAUGCAAAUAUAAUAAUAAUUCAUAUGUAAUGUAAUUUGAUAUUACAGAUUUACAUCCAAUUUCAAACGCUGUGUGAAUUCAAUUAGAAUUAAUUUUAUCUUGUCUUACACAUAUUAUUGAAUACAUUUUUCAAAUAUAAUUUUGAUCCUGUUGAUUUGAGAUGAUUUGUGUUUCAUAAACAUUUGCAUCCAAGUAUGAUAUAUGACAGGGUGUCAAAUAUAUCACGUGAUACACGAGGUUUAGAUAAAAUAAGAUAUUCUCUAAUUAUAAAACAAAACAUGUAGAAUAUUGCAUACAAAGUCCUUACCUUAUUCGCUUACAGCUAAAGCAUUGAGGAAAAAAGCAUACACAGAAAUUCAAUCAAGAAAAUAACCAAAUAGACAUUUAAAACAAAGAAACCCUGCAAAAGAAAAUGUGCUCCAUAUGAUACACACGCGUACAGAUAAAUGUAUAUUUUAGUUAUGUGAUAUAUAGGGAUAUAAAUACAUGAUGGUAUUCUAAAGAACAGAAUUGGCAACAUUAAAUCACUAAGUAACUGUUUUCUCUCAUAAUGUCCCUUAAAGUCUGCUCUGUAGGGUGAUACUCCUCCCCCUAGAUAAAAUCUUGGUCAGUUCUCCAUAGUUAUAUUAAGUAAUAAAAUCUUCCUAGUACUUUAGUCAUUUAAACUAUUCCAGUUUUGAAACUGAUAGGUACAGCCAGAGCAGAACAAAAACUCCAACUUUCAUUCAAAAUUAAGGCUUCUGCACUUGCCUAAUCUGCCAUGCUACAGAAGGCUGGCCUACGGUAUGAAAGUAGGGCCCAGACACUUUUCUAUUUUCCCAAUUUAUCAUUCUUCCCCUCCUCAGUUGUUAACUUACACAGUUUAUGAUGACACCAGGGUUCAAGACGGUGAAGGGAAGACAUGUAGGGGCACAAGAAAGCGCGUUUGUUCUGGUGCUUUGUGAGCUGCCGUUGUUGCUGCCUAGGUCUGGCAGGGGUCAAAGCUGAUACUUGUUCUUCUUUCCUUUGCAGAGUGUUUCAGUUCCUUCAGGGUUUUUCAGACCAUCCAUUCCUCUCCCCAUUUUGCUAAGGAUCCCUUCCUUGCCUGCACUUCACUGACCAUAAUAUGGGUCUCAGCAGUCUAUCUCUCCAUAGACUCUAUCUGUUGGGAUUCUACCCUCUUUUAGGGGCCCUUUGGGAAAAAGUCAAUUUAAGAUGACUCCACGCCAGCUUUCAAUCACAUUUGUGUGGUCCACGCCUUCUCUAUGUAUAUUUGGUCAUGUUCAAUUGUAAUUUACUCCUCAAAAUGAAGCCGUCUAUGCUGUUGUCACAAGUGCUAUUCUUCAGAUGUAGACAGAUGUGUUUUAAUUAAUAAAAUCAAAAUUAAAAGUAUCACUAAUUAAUAGUUUUUUAAUCCUGUAAUCAUGGAAACAAAACAUUAAAAACUAUCAUGUGUGGUGGACACAUUUAUUGAUGUUAAAAACAUUGGGGAUCAUCAAAAUAGGUGAAUAACUUCCUUUUACAGAUAAAAAGCAAAGAAUCAAUUUAGUAAAAGUUGUUACUGGCCACGGGCAGACCAAAGCCUUUUAUGAUGCACUCAAAAGAGGCUGGGGUCUGGAGUCAAACCUAAUGAGGUUUCAACCUUAUCUCUACUAUGUAUUAGUUAUAAGAAGUUGGUCAAGUUGAACAAAUUAUAUAAUCUCAGUUUCUUCUAUGAAAUGGGGAUAAUAAUAUCUAUGACAAUUUUGAUGAUCAAAUAAAAUGUAACACAUAUGGCAUCUGUUGUACAGAAACUUCUAAAUGAUUGCUAUUUGCAUUGUCCAAUACUGGUCAAAUUAUUUUUAUAAUAACUGUGGCCUCUUCCAAUAUUUGUUUUACUUCUGAAUUAAAAAUAACAUAUAUAUGAACAUAUACACAUACAUGCAUAAAUAUAUUUCUCAAGUUAUUAAAUUAUUACUAUGCAAUAGUUACCAAGUGUAUAUGUGAUGCAUUAUUAAAAUGAGAACCUUUGUUUUGUUAUGCUAUCAAAAACAGACUUUAAACUAUGCCUUGUUUUUUUUAGAUAAAGCAAAUAAACCAGUAAAAACAGGCUAGUACUUCUAUUGAAUUUAUAUAUUUGGGGUUAGCAAACUAAGUAGAGAAGCUCUGGCUUUUCAUGAAAUAGGGGCGAGAUGGACAAUUACAGAAAAGUCUGCCACAUCCAAGGUCUUGCUGGGAGAAAACUCUAAGAAUUCAGACACAUAGUCACAAAGC